CAAAGAGAAAAGUCUUCCAUUUGCCUGGUAAUGAGCUUAUCCUUGGGAAUUGAUAUGGAAAAAAUGCCCAAAGCUCCAAGAGCAGGGAGUUUAGAAGAGAAAAAGAAGUAGAGAAAGGGCUGCAUUUCCCACUGUGGCUAAAAUUCUCAGGACUCAUCGACACAUCAUCAGUUCAUUACUCGAGCACAAAACUGGCAGUUAUCACAGACCCAGCCAGCAUGACCCCCAACUCAUUCCCACACUCAGGCUAGAUACUGACCUUCUGGAAUCCACCACUGUUCUACUUACAAUCCAUUUUAUUCACAUGAUUCACUUAGUCAAAGUCUAGAGGAUAGAAAGGAGAUGAAACACACUCUGUGAUUAGUUGCUCUCUCUCCUAAGGUAUCUCACUACUAAAAUCUGAGCCCCUCCCCGCCAGCCCUUUCUUCUCUUAUCUAGGGGAAGAAGGACGCAAUUUCCUGAUGGGCAGAGGCGUGCAAUGGGUCUUACUUUCACAUUGUUUCAGGAAACACAAUAAUAGUUGCUUGGCUCUCACCAUAUCCCUUUGGAAAUCCCCAGGUGUGCCUUUUGCAUUACCAAAAAUAAAUGUAGGAAAUAAAGGUAGAUAAUAGGUCAUUAUUAUGUUUUGUCCUAAUAGGUGAUGCCAAAAUAUAUCUCUGUCUACAGACAUGACUCAACCUCACAAAAAAACCACCUGCAAGCACAGUCAUCUCAUUUUCAAGUAAUGAUUAGCUUCUGAAAAAGGAAGUCAAGAAACAGAUGAGCAACGUGAGAUCGCUGGGCCUUAUAAUCCACAUUCUAAGGCCAGACGUUGUGGUUUUGCUCUGUCUGGCUGCUGACUCUUCAAGGGAAUGUGGCGGACUCCAAAAGACAUCUCUUAGCUUCUGGGACACUGGUGUCUCUUGCCACACCUCUAGGCUCACCCUCACCUUUGAAGAGUUUAGAUGAGUAGAGAAGAGGAGGAGGCAUUUCAAGUUGUGAGACUAGCAUGAGGAAAGGCAAGAAUGUAUGCAAGUUCAUAACACUGUGUGCCAGGAGGGAAGGGACAAGGUAAGGCAGAAAUGUUCUAAGGGGAACCAAUGGGAAAGGCCUUUAAAUGCCAUGCCAUAUGACACUUAUUUUUUAUUCUUAAUGGUUAGGGGGACAAAAAGUGACACUUGCUGAGGUUAACUCCUGUAACCUUCUGAAGAAAGGAUUAGAAAGUGAAAACGUGGAGGUAUCAGUUAGAAAGCUGCUUCCCUAGCAACAGGGAGCUCAAGGACAUGAACAAGGACAUUGGCUGUGGGAAUGGAACGAAAGGAAUACAUCAAUUGGCAGCGUGUGGCAGUGGAAAAAUCAAUUAAACUUAGCAGCCAAUUAAGUGUGGGAGGUUAAAAUAAUAAGGGAUCAAAUAUGGGAGGUGUUUGGUUUGGACAGUUGAAUUAAUAAUUGUGUCAGUAACCAGGAUAGAAAAUAUAGAAAGAGAAAUAGAAUCACAGAAGGACUGUAAUUAAUUCCAUUCAGGGCAUCUGGGCUUCAGAUACUAUCAGAACAAGCAGCGUGAAGGCUGCCAUUGACGAGUGGCAAAUACUUCUGGUUACAUAGAACAAAAACCUGAAACAUGGACAGACAUUUAUUAAACUCCUAUUAUGUGCAAAGAAUUGCAAAACGUCCUAUGGGGUGGGCAAAGUACCUUAUAGUCCCUGGCCAUAGGGGCUUGAUGAUGUAGGUAAGAGUACAACAUAAAUGCAUGGAAAUGUAAGUAACUAAGAACUGUUCAGAGAAAAUGUUAUGGGAGAGAGAUGAGAACCUAGGCCUUGAAACACAGGUAGGGUGGAGCAAAGGGGAGAAGAGAAAGAAAUUUCCAGAGAAAGGCUUAGAGGGGUUGUUGAGAAAUGUGCUUCAGUGAGAGCAGGAAUAGCUGGAUUGGAGGAGACAUGUAAAAAACGAAGAAGGAAUAAGCACAGAUUGGUAAAUUUGACUUAACUUCUGAACACUUCUUAUUGAUACAUAACAGAUGCACAUAUUUUGGAGUACAUGUGAUAUUUUGAUAUAGUCAUAGAAUGUGUAAAUAUCAAAUUAGGGUAAUUGGGAUAUCCAUCACCUUAAAUAUUUAUCUUUUCUUUAUGCUAGGAAUAUUUGACUUACUCUGUUUUAGCUAUUUCAAAAUGUACAGUAAAUUAUUGUUAACUAUAGUCACCCUACUGAUCUAACACUGUCUUAUUUCUUCUAAUUGUACAUUUGUACCCAUUGAUCAACCUCAACUUUUGAGCACUUUUAAUGUCAAGCAAAGUGGUUUGAAUUUGAUCGAGGAAACAGAAAAGAGUCUUUGGGACAUUUCCUGCCAGGUGAGUAAAUGA
This 2339-nucleotide long non-coding RNA is filed under the name Microcebus murinus (gray mouse lemur). Its description in RNAcentral is "lncRNA (ENSMICG00000048515.1)". Lineage: Eukaryota; Metazoa; Chordata; Mammalia; Primates; Cheirogaleidae. The record is from RNAcentral.